Molecule: ribosomal RNA, 251 nt
Filed under: uncultured bacterium
Lineage: Bacteria
Description: partial 16S ribosomal RNA
Rfam family: Bacterial small subunit ribosomal RNA
Source: RNAcentral
CGACGUGGAGAACCUGCCGUAUACUGGGGAUAACACUUAGAAUAGGUGCUAAUACCGCAUAAGCGCACAGCUUCGCAUGAAGCAGUGUGGAAACAAAAGCUAAAGCUUUUGGUGGUAUACGAUGGAUCCGCGUCUGAUUAGCUGGUUGGCGGGGUAAAGGCCCACCAAGGCGACGAUCAGUAGCCGGCCUGAGAGGGUGAACGGCCACAUUGGGACUGAGACACGGCCCAAACUCCUACGGAAGGCAGCAG